CUCCUUGUUCUCGGUUUCAUGCCUCUGCAUGCGUGCACUGCGUACAGGCGUGCUGGCGGCCCGUCUCUCUGCCUCUCUCUCUCCCUUGCCCUCACCGAGUUUCGAAUGUGGAGAGGGCUUCCCCGCGGAGCAUACAGACACCUGUGCGCGGACCCGAGAGGGAGACACAGUGCUAUCCUGCAGCCAUGAUGCAUCGACUGCCCAUCACCGUCAGCUUCGAUGCGCUGGACUCUCUUAUUCAGAUAACGCGUGGAUUGGGCUACCAGUACCGCAGCUCGUACGCAUCCUUUCUGCUGGAACACGGUAUUGACCUUCACGCAAGCUGCCCAAACGCCACCUGUGAGGUGGUGCAGGAACUCGCGCUGAAGGCGAUCCAUGACCAAGUGCGGGUGGAGCGUGCAGCAUGGACUCGUUCUGCCAACCCAAAGGAGAUGCCGAUUGGCGGCGACACAGAUGAGGAACUGCGCUCUUUUUGGACCCGCGUUCUGAGGCAAACCUAUACAUGUGCGACGCUGUAUGACGGCGCUGCCGCGGAUGUGGUGCAGCGCAUCGAGGAGCUGUGGAGCGACCACCACAACGAAGUGCGCCGGUUUGAAGACUACGUGCUGUUUGAUCAGUUCAGCUCCACCAAGGCCCAUAGCUGGUACCCGGAAGGACUCCGCACAUUGCAGUGCCUGCGUAAAUGGAACCAAGUACAGGUGAGCCGUGACAAGAGCGCUGUGCGGCCAGGCCUGGUAGAGCCGACGCCAGCGUCUGACUUGGACGUGGUUUCUCCUUCCACUGCCGCAGCGUCUCCGGUUCUCUUCCUGGCUGCGCCGCCAUUCGUAGUUUCCAACAUGGAUCCUCGUAUACGGGGCGUGUUCAUGCAGCUGGGUGCGCUCGAGGCUGGUGAAAGAGGUGAGCCGCCACUGCUUUCGCGGAUCAUCUCGGCUCGGGAUACGGGCUACGCAAAGCCGUCGCCCAUAGGCAUCCUGACCGGUGUGCGCGAUAUUGCCGCUUCCUACCGCGCCGCGUGCCGAAGCGGCGGCGGUGUGUGCGAUGCGGGUGUCGAUGUACAUAGGCACGUGCACGUAGGCGACGCCGAUGCCGAUCGCGUUGCAUGCGAGCGCGCGGGGUGCCAUUUCGUGCAGUGCGACCCCGCUACGGGCGUGACGUGGGGGCUGCUGCAGUCCAAGCUACAGGAGCUGGAGGCACUCUACGGAUCUGCGCCCUCCCUCCAACGAGCUAUGAGAGGGGACUCGAGCUCCGCGUGAUCGCCUUCUUGUGCACGAGUCGUGCACCAGCCUCCGACACCUGCCUCGAGAAGUGCGCUGGCCGCGCGAGUGCCCGUUCUCUCUGCCCUUUCGCCUUUUUCGUCUCAUUUUCGCUUUCUGCUUGUUCGGCUCUGCUGGUGCGUCGUCUGCGCAUUAACGCGCUCAUUAAAGGUGGGCGGAUGGGGGGGUGGACCCCCCCCCCCCCCCCGAGAAUCAACGCACCCGAUCGCGAUCCACCUCAAGGCGUUGCUCAACAGGUCGACUCUACACCAUACAGCAGGAGCCCAAACCCAACUCGAGCCCGCACGCGCCCCGUCACAGGCCCGCCUCGCGUGGUGUGCAGCAGCGCUAGACACGCGCGUCACAGCAAUGCGCCGACCCAGUCAUCGCAGCACGACCCCUGCCUCAGACGCGGCCCCACCCACCCACCCCCGACCCGCGCCCAUCGUGCCGGCCGCCACGCGGUGCAUCCUCCUCGGCGUGGCGCAGGCUCCCUGCACACCAGCAGGCAGUGCGCGAGGGCCGGGGGGUGGGUGGUGGGACACACGCCCGAGCCACGCUGACGCUCUGCCUAAUCAUAUGGAUUAGGCACAAGCGUGCUCGCUGUCGCAGGGGGGGGUGCCCCGACGCAGCGCCAUCCAGGACCUGGGCGCCGGCAUCUGUAGCGAUGCAUCGCCCGGGCCUCCCUCCUCCCCUUACGUCGUGGGUGCCGGGCCCCCGGCAUCCCCGGAAGUGAGGUUCGGCAUUCGGCAGGGAUAGGUGGAGGGAGGGGAGAGCUGCCUGCCCCCGCCCCCUCCCUCCCUUCCCCACAGAGAAAGGGAGAGCGUGUAGGGGGGAGGGCGCUGGACUCUGAUGAUGCCAUGCACUGGGGCGUUCCACCUCCGUCGUUCGGGCGUAUACAAGAGGCACACAGGAGAAGAUGAGUCAACAUUUGAGACAUGUAUCAUGAAGGCACAUGGGUGCGAGAACGGCCU
This 2227-nucleotide unclassified non-coding RNA is filed under the name Leishmania donovani. RNAcentral's name for it is "gene:LdHU3.32.3160(CDS-product:hypothetical_prote in_conserved)". The record is from RNAcentral. Lineage: Eukaryota; Euglenozoa; Kinetoplastea; Trypanosomatida; Trypanosomatidae.